RNAcentral lists this ribosomal RNA (440 nucleotides) under uncultured bacterium. RNAcentral's name for it is "partial 16S ribosomal RNA". It matches the Rfam family "Bacterial small subunit ribosomal RNA", at positions 338 to 795 of the family's 1533-position model. The record is from RNAcentral.
CCUACGGGGGGCAGCAGUGGGGGAUAUUGCACAAUGGGGGAAACCCUGAUGCAGCGACGCCGCGUGGGUGAAGAAGCGCCUCGGCGCGUAAAGCCCUGUCAGCAGGGAAGAAAAUGACGGUACCUGAAGAAGAAGCCCCGGCUAACUACGUGACAGCAGCCGCGGGAAUAUGCAGGGGGCAAGCGUUAUCCGGAUUUACUGGGUGUAAAGGGGGCGCAGAGGGCGAUGCAAGUCAGGAGUGAACGCCCGGGGCCCAAACCCGGGACUGCUCUUGGAACUGGGUGGCUAGAGUGCAGGAGGGGCAGGCGGAAGUCGUGGUGUAGCGGUGAAAUGCGUAGAUAUCAGGAGGAACACCGGUGGCGAAGGCGGCCUGCUGGACUGCAACUGACGUUGAGGCCCGAGAGCGUGGGGAGCAAACAGGAUUAGAUACCCGGGUAGUC